RNAcentral lists this transfer RNA (86 nucleotides) under Pseudomonadota bacterium. RNAcentral's name for it is "tRNA-Leu". It matches the Rfam family "tRNA". Rfam says of the family: Transfer RNA (tRNA) molecules are approximately 80 nucleotides in length. Their secondary structure includes four short double-helical elements and three loops (D, anti-codon, and T loops). Further hydrogen bonds mediate the characteristic L-shaped molecular structure. tRNAs have two regions of fundamental functional importance: the anti-codon, which is responsible for specific mRNA codon recognition, and the 3' end, to which the tRNAs corresponding amino acid is attached (by aminoacyl-tRNA synthetases). tRNAs cope with the degeneracy of the genetic code in two manners: having more than one tRNA (with a specific anti-codon) for a particular amino acid; and 'wobble' base-pairing, i.e. permitting non-standard base-pairing at the 3rd anti-codon position. Lineage: Bacteria; Pseudomonadati; Pseudomonadota. The record is from RNAcentral. RNAcentral also lists the same sequence under 1 other name.
GGGGACGUGGCGGAAUGGCAGACGCGCUUGGUUGAGGGCCAAGUGAGCAUUAGCUCGUGUGAGUUCAACUCUCACCGUCCCCACCA